GAUGAACGCUGGCGGCGUGCCUAAUACAUGCAAGUCGAGCGAACGGACGAGAAGCUUGCUUCUCUGAUGUUAGCGGCGGACGGGUGAGUAACACGUGGAUAACCUACCUAUAAGACUGGGAUAACUUCGGGAAACCGGAGCUAAUACCGGAUAAUAUUUUGAACCGCAUGGUUCAAAAGUGAAAGACGGUCUUGUUGUCACUUAUAGAUGGAUCCGCGCUGCAUUAGCUAGUUGGUAAGGUAACGGCUUACCAAGGCAACGAUGCAUAGCCGACCUGAGAGGGUGAUCGGCCACACUGGAACUGAGACACGGUCCAGACUCCUACGGGAGGCAGCAGUAGGGAAUCUUCCGCAAUGGGCGAAAGCCUGACGGAGCAACGCCGCGUGAGUGAUGAAGGUCUUCGGAUCGUAAAACUCUGUUAUUAGGGAAGAACAUAUGUGUAAGUAACUGUGCACAUCUUGACGGUACCUAAUCAGAAAGCCACGGCUAACUACGU
Molecule: ribosomal RNA, 496 nt
Filed under: uncultured bacterium
Lineage: Bacteria
Description: partial 16S ribosomal RNA
Rfam family: Bacterial small subunit ribosomal RNA
Source: RNAcentral